GGGGGGCCUUGCCCGGCCAGGAAAGGACUGGAAGUAAAGGGGGGUGGGGAGGCACAAGCCGAGAUGAUAUCAUUCCUGAAGCCUGCAAGCAGCCAAUCCGCUGGUGAGGAUAUGAUGUCAUCUCCCCCGCCCCCGCCCCCUCUUAGCCUAGGUAGCCCCACUGAGAAUUCUAGACAAGUAUUGAACUGAAGUUGUAUUACUGUGAGAGAAAGGGGGCGGGGGAUGGCGAUGGGAGAGAGAAAGAGAUCUACGGACCCUCUGGAUGGCCCGAGCAGACACUACAGUCUUCACCAGAGGCAGCCCCAUAAAAAUGUCAUCGUCUCGGGCUCUCCCCGCAUUACAACACAAUGAUUUCUUUGGGGAGGAGAAAAAAAAAACUAAGAUUUAUUUUGCAACCACACCUCCGCCUCCCUUGGAAGAGAAAUACUGACCAACAACAAGUUGUGAAUGAAAUGUCUGCAGAUCGGCCCUCCUCGCCCAGCCUGAGAACUUUCCAGACGGAAAGGCGCACACGUGCACACAGCACCAGCUGAGCCGAUUUGUGCUGCUCUCAGCAGCCACCGGGGAUGGAGGAACCGCUCAAGGAUCUCCAGAGUGCGAGCCUGGUUCGGGGCAAAGUUGCCCAACCUAGUGGUGUGAGCCACGUAAGGAGCUGGGGAGAGGGGAGUCUGUCCCCAAGACAAUGACAGCAUCUAGGGCUCAGUGCCAGGCUCCCGGGAGAAGCAAACAAGCCAUGGCUUUAGGGAGGGGUGCAGGCUCAUUAGAGAGCCCACUGAAGUGUUACCACCAUGCAGAGAGGAGGGGUGAGAGGGCACGGCUCUCCUCUGCCAGUUUUUUUCUCUUGGGACGGGGAAGCAGCGCUGCUUGGAAAAUAGCAAACUCAAACCUUCCCCCCAAAUGCCAGAAAUGUUCCCGGGAGUCCAGGCCACAAGGACAGUGUGUGCAAUGGCUUGGACCAGGCCAGAGCUGUUCUCCCUCCCCUUAAACUAUGCAUAAAAAGAAGGUUCCCCCACAUGCUCCUCCUGGGAUCUUUCUGGGGUUAUCCCACAUGAACCUGCUUAGGUUGCCUUUGAGGAAACAGAGAAGUGAAGAUCCCCCAACCACUCCCCAUUUUGGAAAAGUGGACAUCAAAGCCCAGAGAAGGGACAGGACCAGCCCAAUGACCAACAGAGUCACCAGUGACUCUGGGGCUAUGUCUAGGACUCUGUCUCCAGUCUACUGUUCAUUCCCAAGGACAAGCCCACAACACAGUAGCAGCACCUGCAGAUGGAAAGCCUUCGAUCUCAAUGUCACCUGUUUGCCACUUUCUGCAUAAAUAAUGUCAUUGUUGGAAUGAGUUUAUGAUGGUCUCCAUCCCCAUCUCUAUGAGCUGUGAGCAAGACAUCUGCUGCAUAGCUCGUGUGUGUUCAGGCCUCCCUGGACCAGCAGCUCCGACUCACACAUGCACAGAACGAUAACGCAGAUGGGAGCAUGCGCCUGGAAGGCCACCCUGCCGCACAGCACACUGACUGAGCAAGAACAAAGACCGUAAAUGAAGAAGGAUGUUUGCACUCUGCUCCUCGCUUGCCUGAAAACAGGAAACUUUGGAGACCUGUUCUGGCAAGGUUUCCACCUCUUCCUCACCCCAACGGUGAAUAGCCUAAGAGGUCUUAUUUUUAUUACUUUUUUUAAGAGGACAAAUCUUUUCCAAAGCACUUUUCUUUUUCUUUUUGUUUUGCUGCUGUGAUAGGGAACUGUGUGUGUUCUGAUGGUUCAAUGGGGAAAUGAGGAUCGAUCAUGAGUGAUUUUCCCGAAAUGCAACCUGUGCAGGUCUUGCCUUCCUCAAGCACCUGUGAGGAGAAGUCGUCACUAGCGGGGAAUUCCAGCAGGUGACCCAAUCGAGACAGCUGGGCAGGCUCCUGGAGCUGAUGGCUUGGGAAGGAGGGAGUCAGAAGUGGCAGGCCCACGGAGGGCCUUCAACUCAUUGGAUGAAGCCCACCCUUAUUCCCAAGGAUAAUCUCCUUUACUCAAGGUCAACUGAUUGUUGAUGUUAAUGACAUCCACAAAAUGUCUUCACAGCAAUGGGAUUGCCUCACAGUAAUGGGAUUGCCUCACAGUAAUGGGAUUGCUGGGUCAAAUGGUAAUUAUCCUUAUGAUUUUCUUAAUACCAUUGUCUUUUCUCUACCUUACUUUAUUGUAGUAAUACAGUAUAUAGUACAUAUAACAUACAAAAUAUGUGUUAAAAUAA
Molecule: long non-coding RNA, 2227 nt
Organism: Pan troglodytes (chimpanzee)
Lineage: Eukaryota; Metazoa; Chordata; Mammalia; Primates; Hominidae
Exons: 3
Source: RefSeq, a predicted model, not a curated record